This is a long non-coding RNA of Rosa rugosa (rugosa rose), 1247 nucleotides long. RefSeq lists it as uncharacterized. The record is from RefSeq and is a predicted model, not a curated record. NCBI's taxonomy places the organism in Eukaryota, Viridiplantae, Streptophyta, Magnoliopsida, Rosales, Rosaceae. The transcript has 4 exons.
UGGUCCAUCGGCUUCACCAUUCCAUACCUAUGCGGUCCAGAGCCCGAUCACUGUAAACUUAGUCUCCAGAUUUUCGUCUCAGUGAUGCCAACGUUUCUGUACAAUGAUUGCGUUUGAGUCUAUCAGCUGCUAUGGAGAAUGGAUGCAUGCAAACUCAGAUUUUGGUGAAUUCUUACCGGCGUUUCCAGCCAAUUUUUGGGAUGAUUGAGUUCGUCCAAUGCAAGUUCACCUUCAAAAAGGGAGAUUCUGACCUCUUCCCGAAUUGCUGCUGUCAGCCAACUUCGACGGCCAGAAACUGCAAGUUUGAGCCUUUGUAUCUGUACGACUUCUUCAUGAAAGUUGUUCGAAAUUGCGUCUUCUAUACUUUCCUCGAAAAUCAUGAUAAUCCAACGGUUAAUUCGUUCUCAAUCAAGUUUCUACUCAGAUUGGGUCAUGUUUCUCCAUCGACAUUUGAGUUAAUUUCAUGAAGUUUACAUCUCCAUCUUGAGUUCACACAAUUGAUUUUACAAUUGGAUGACGAAGCAUGGAAUCUGGUUGCACAAGCCAAAGGCAGAGGUAUUGCUUGACCUGGAAUAACAUUCGAAGCACUUUGAUUCGAGUUGGUCUUGCAGGUACUGUGCACGAGGAUUGAGGAGGAUUUCGAGACUGAGCUGGGUGCUACAUUUUUCUUUAACUAUUUGGUAUCUUGGAACAAAGAAAGAGAAAAGAAGCAAAAGAUGAAUUGAAAGGCAAAAUCAGCAAAUCUGCCUGUGCAGAUCAGUCAACUUUGACAGAUCACGGAGAUCAGCUCAGAAUGAACCAGAUGUUGAUCUUUAUAUUGGUGGAAAGAAUCAGAUGUCUCGUUUUCAAAUCUUUUUACGGCUCAUCAAUAUCAUUUUUCUAGAGGACGUUAUGACCGAUUUACUACAAGAAGGUCAGGCUGCGCGUGAAUCUGAGGUAGUUUCGAGGCCCAAAUCACAACGGGAAGCCCGAGGCAGAGUUUGUCCUUCAUAUUCCCACUUGAUAUGGACAAAUGGCGAGACAUGAAUUGUUAGAAUAAGUCAUCAAGUUCAAGAGCCAAUAGGAAAACUCCACCUAAGCACUCUAACCCUAAUUCUUUUAGGUUUUGGAUUUCUUACACAACAAGAAAGAUGAAGGCAAUCUCUAAGCAUAUAAGAGGAGAUCAAAAUGCAGCAGCUUGCUCUCCCUCUCUCUCUUCCUCACUUACGUUAUUUUUUAUUUUGGAUUCCAAUUAUGUUUAACUAAAU